RNAcentral lists this transfer RNA (64 nucleotides) under Chamaeleo monachus (monarch chameleon). RNAcentral describes it as "tRNA-His". It matches the Rfam family "tRNA". From Rfam's summary of the family: Transfer RNA (tRNA) molecules are approximately 80 nucleotides in length. Their secondary structure includes four short double-helical elements and three loops (D, anti-codon, and T loops). Further hydrogen bonds mediate the characteristic L-shaped molecular structure. tRNAs have two regions of fundamental functional importance: the anti-codon, which is responsible for specific mRNA codon recognition, and the 3' end, to which the tRNAs corresponding amino acid is attached (by aminoacyl-tRNA synthetases). tRNAs cope with the degeneracy of the genetic code in two manners: having more than one tRNA (with a specific anti-codon) for a particular amino acid; and 'wobble' base-pairing, i.e. permitting non-standard base-pairing at the 3rd anti-codon position. Lineage: Eukaryota; Metazoa; Chordata; Lepidosauria; Squamata; Chamaeleonidae. The record is from RNAcentral.
GCCGCGUUAGUUUAAAAAACAUUAGCCUGUGGAGCUAAAAAUGGACUUACCACCCCACGCAGCC